This 439-nucleotide ribosomal RNA is filed under the name uncultured bacterium. Its description in RNAcentral is "partial 16S ribosomal RNA". It matches the Rfam family "Bacterial small subunit ribosomal RNA", at positions 339 to 795 of the family's 1533-position model. The record is from RNAcentral.
CUACGGGUUGCAGCAGUGGGGAAUUUUGCGCAAUGGGGGAAACCCUGACGCAGCAAUACCGCGUGAGUGAAGAAGGCCUUUGGGUCGUAAAGCUCUUUUCUUGGGGAAGAUAGUGACGGUACCCAAGGAAUAAGCACCGGCUAACUCCGUGCCAGCAGCCGCGGUAAUAGGGAGGGUGCAAGCGUUGGUCGGAUUUACUGGGCGUAAAGGGCACGUAGGCGGCACAGCAAGUUAAGGGUGAAAUCCCGGGGCUCAACUCCGGAACUGCUCUUAAAACUGCUGAGCUAGAGAUAGUCAGAGGCGGGUGGAAUUCCAGGUGUAGAGGUGAAAUUCGUAGAUAUCUGGAGGAACACCGGUGGCGAAGGCGGCCCGCUGGGGCUAUUCUGACGCUAAGGUGCGAAAGCGUGGGGAGCAAACGGGAUUAGAUACCCCGGUAGUC